RNAcentral lists this ribosomal RNA (473 nucleotides) under uncultured bacterium. RNAcentral describes it as "bacterial SSU rRNA". It matches the Rfam family "Bacterial small subunit ribosomal RNA", at positions 355 to 825 of the family's 1533-position model. The record is from RNAcentral.
UGGGGAAUAUUGGGCAAUGGGCGAAAGCCUGACCCAGCAACGCCGCGUGAGUGAUGAAGGCCUUCGGGUCGUAAAGCUCUGUCGGAGGGAACGAAUGCUCCUGAAGUUAACAGCCUCAGGAGGUGACGGUACCCUCAAAGGAAGCACCGGCUAACUCUGUGCCAGCAGCCGCGGUAAUACAGAGGGUGCAAGCGUUGUUCGGAUUUACUGGGCGUAAAGGGCGCGUAGGCGGUGUGUCAAGUCAGUUGUGAAAUCUCCGAGCUUAACUCGGAACGGUCAACUGAUACUGUCACACUAGAGUACAGAAGGGGCAAUCGGAAUUCUUGGUGUAGCGGUGAAAUGCGUAGAUAUCAAGAGGAACACCUGAGGCGAAGGCGGGUUGCUGGGCUGAUACUGACGCUGAGGCGCGAAAGCUAGGGUAGCAAACGGGAUUAGAUACCCAAGUAGUCCCUGAGCGGGCUGGCAAGGCGCAU